CUUCAUGAAGCCGGAAUUGCUAGUAAUGGCAGGUCAGCAUACUGCCGUGAAUACGUUCCCGGGCCUUGUACACACCGCCCGUCACACCAUGAGAGUUGGGAAUACCCGAAGCCUGUGAGCUAACAUUAUGAGGCAGCAGUCGAAGGUAGAAUCAAUGAUUGGGGUGAAGUCGUAACAAGGUAGC
Molecule: ribosomal RNA, 184 nt
Filed under: uncultured bacterium
Lineage: Bacteria
Description: partial 16S ribosomal RNA
Rfam family: Bacterial small subunit ribosomal RNA
Source: RNAcentral